UACGGAGGAUGCGAGCGUUAUCCGGAUCUAUUGGGUUUAAAGGGUGCGUAGGCGGACUGUCAAGUCAGCGGUAAAAUUGAGAGGCUCAACCUCUUCCCGCCGUUGAAACUGGUGGUCUUGAGUGGAUGAGAAGUACGCGGAAUGCGUGGUGUAGCGGUGAAAUGCAUAGAUAUCACGCAGAACUCCGAUUGCGAAGGCAGCGUACCGGCAUCCAACUGACGCUGAGGCACGAAAGCGUGGGGAUCAAACAGG
Molecule: ribosomal RNA, 252 nt
Filed under: uncultured bacterium
Lineage: Bacteria
Description: partial 16S ribosomal RNA
Rfam family: Bacterial small subunit ribosomal RNA
Source: RNAcentral